CAGGGGAGAUAUCAUGAUCACGAAGGUGGUUUUCCCAGGGCGAGGCUUAUCCAUUGCACUCUGGAUAUGCGGACCCCUGCAAUUUCCCCAAAAUGUGGGAAGCUCAACUG
Molecule: small nuclear RNA, 110 nt
Organism: Otolemur garnettii (small-eared galago)
Lineage: Eukaryota; Metazoa; Chordata; Mammalia; Primates; Galagidae
Gene: U1
Rfam family: U1 spliceosomal RNA
About the family: U1 is a small nuclear RNA (snRNA) component of the spliceosome (involved in pre-mRNA splicing). Its 5' end forms complementary base pairs with the 5' splice junction, thus defining the 5' donor site of an intron.
Source: Ensembl